UACGUAGGGGGCAAGCGUUGUCCGGAAUCACUGGGCGUAAAGCGCAUGUAGGCGGCUGCACAAGUCCGUUGUUAAAACCCCUGGCUCAACUGGGGGAGGUCAAUGGAGACUGUGCGACUUGAGGGCAAUAGAGGCACGUGGAACUCCCGGUGUAGCGGUGGAAUGCGUAGAGAUCGGGAAGAACACCAGUGGCGAAGGCGACGUGCUGGGUUGCACCUGACGCUGAGAUGCGGAAGUUUGGGGAGCAAACGGG
This 253-nucleotide ribosomal RNA is filed under the name uncultured bacterium. RNAcentral's name for it is "partial 16S ribosomal RNA". It matches the Rfam family "Bacterial small subunit ribosomal RNA", at positions 524 to 776 of the family's 1533-position model. The record is from RNAcentral.